UAACACAUGUGCACGCUCACUGCCAUUUCUUCGCAAAAGUAAGGAGAGAAGUAACUGAUGAUCUCCUAUCUGCUUUCCGGGCCACAAUCACACGGGUAUGACAGCUCUGGGAACAACGACAUCUGCAAGCACUGAACCUUACUGAUGUGCAAGCCAGCAGAUCUCCCAAGAUCUUCAGCAGGCGGAAAACAAGUUACUGUGUUCACCAGUAUGGCUGAAGAACUGUGCUCACGGAACUUGGACCCUUUUGUUUGUCAUCACUGGAAACUGUUAUUUGUUUACUUUCUACUUUGAACCUCUGCAUAAGAUGCAACAGAGAGAAUUCUGGGAGUUUGCAAUUCCAAAUGAACAUGCAGAAAGGAACCAGCCACAGCCCCCAGGAGGCUCAAGGGCACAGAACACUGCUGAUCCCUCCUUGCUCCUUGUUCAGACCCUCCGGUGACUAAAGAGUUGUGAGGUGAAUUUACGUGAGAAAAUAUGCUGGACCA
This is a long non-coding RNA of Neogale vison (American mink), 488 nucleotides long. RefSeq lists it as uncharacterized. The transcript is spliced from 3 exons. The record is from RefSeq and is a predicted model, not a curated record. Lineage: Eukaryota; Metazoa; Chordata; Mammalia; Carnivora; Mustelidae.